UAUGCACACUACUGUAAGUCGCUCUGGAUGAGGGCGUCUGCUAAAUGACUUCAA
This is a non-coding RNA of Salmo salar (Atlantic salmon), 54 nucleotides long. The record is from Rfam. Lineage: Eukaryota; Metazoa; Chordata; Actinopteri; Salmoniformes; Salmonidae.